This 372-nucleotide ribosomal RNA is filed under the name Atelopus bomolochos (Azuay stubfoot toad). RNAcentral's name for it is "partial 12S ribosomal RNA". It matches the Rfam family "Bacterial small subunit ribosomal RNA", at positions 869 to 1406 of the family's 1533-position model. The record is from RNAcentral. Lineage: Eukaryota; Metazoa; Chordata; Amphibia; Anura; Bufonidae.
UUGCCAGGGAACUACGAGCUAAGCUUAAAACCCAAAGGACUUGACGGUACCCCAUAUCCCCCUAGAGGAGCCUGUCCUAUAAUCGAUAAUCCACGAUUGACCUCACCAUUUUCUAGUUUAUCAGCUUGUAUACCUCCGUCGUCAGCUUACCACGUGAGCGCUUAACCUAGUGAGCUUAAUGUUAUUUCACCAACACGUCAGGUCAAGGUGCAGUAUAUGUAAUGGAAAGAGAUGGGCUACACUUUCUAUCCUAGAACACACGAAAAACUAAAUAUGAAAUCUAGUUGGAAGGCGGAUUUAGUAGUAAAAAGGAAUUAGAACGUCCAUUUUAACUCGGCACUGGGGUGUGUACACACCGCCGGUUCACCCUCA